RNAcentral lists this long non-coding RNA (27753 nucleotides) under Populus tremula. Its description in RNAcentral is "long non-coding RNA (PTRE_LNC003181)". Lineage: Eukaryota; Viridiplantae; Streptophyta; Magnoliopsida; Malpighiales; Salicaceae. The record is from RNAcentral.
UUUGUUGCACGGAACCUGCAGACUGGAAAAGGAUAAAUUUACUGCAAGGGCUUCAAACAUGAAAAACGAUGUUGAACAGGCAAGGGCAUCAAACAUGGAAGACGAUGAGUCAAGUGCUCCAAACAAGGGAAAAGUUAUUGAUGUAGGAAGUGAUUCAGACAUUGAUAAGGAUAUUAACAACUUAAGUGCUUCAAACAAAGGAAAGGAUACAGCAAGUACCUCAAGUAUUUCAAACCCGGAACUCAAAAUUGAGAUGACUAGCAGGAUUUUGGAACAGCUGCAUAACCGAACGGUGGAGCAGAGAACACAGACAGCAGAGGAGGUCAGCAUCACCAUCGAUUUCCUUUCUCCAGAAGCAGUGGUCUACCGCCACAUCAACACCCAUCUUCCCCGAUCUCUUCAUCUCCGUUAGCUCUGAAGCUUCCUCCAGCAGUGGCCACCACACGGCAGCCCCUACAGAACCAAAAUGAGAUAAAUCUGAAAGAGAAAGAAAGACUCGAACUUGUGUAGCAGAUCUGGACCGAGAUCCAGCCGCCAUCAGCGCUGGCGAUGCCCAACAACCAGAUGUGCUACAGGGAUGAACUCUCGGGCAACAAACAGUGACAGACUCGAAAGAAGCCAAUCUAAAGGAGGAGGAGAAAAAAACGCAGAUCUGUGAAAAAAAGACAAUAAUCGAAACUCAAUUAAGAAGAAAUCAUCGCACAAACAAUCUCCCGGACCGGUUGUUGAUUUGGAUCCUUUCCCAAUUGAGGAUGGAAGACUACGGGAAAGAGGAGAUUGGUUGGGGUGGGGAAUGAAGCUGUGAUUUGGGAUCGGUUCAAGAGGUAAGAAUCUAUACAAUAACAGUAACAACAAGAAGAACUUUUCAACCCAGCCAUGGAGGGGAAAGCUUUCUCUCAAAAAACCCAGCCACCGUUCCAGACAAACUUAAUUCCUUCUCACAAACACAAAAAUGAACUUGACCUUACAUACAAGCCAUAUUACCCCCAGCCUCAGCUACCAUCCAUCACCUUAAACACUCAGACUUAACAAACUACCGUGAUUUUCAACUACAAUGUUACUUUGAAAACUUCCCAAGUUGGGUCGAUUACCAUAAGCUAAAGACUGUUUCAGAAAACAGGGAAAGUUAUUAAGCUGUUUGUUUCUCGAAAAACAAAUCAAGCAGGAAAGCAUUUUGGCUUCGUCACCAUCCUCUCGAAUCUGUCAGACAAAACUCUGCUAGAAUGCUUAAAUGACAUAUGGUUUGAUUCCUAAAGCUGAGAGUUAAUGUGGCUAAGCACAGAAGAAAAGAUGAAGUGACGAAACAGAAAAUAAUGGGAACAGGGAAACAAAUACCCAAGCUCAACAACAAAGCCAAGGCCCCCAUCCGUGUAAGAGACAACCGAAGCUAUCUUGAGGCAGUAAGAUCAGGGAGUCAAGUGCAUCAAGCGUCUGAUAAUGCCACACCACGUCCUCAUAACUUCAUUUCUUUCAACACUACAGAUGAGGAAAUUCUAUGGUUAAGAAAUAGUCUUAUAGGCAAGAUAUCUCAGGGAGUAGAUUAUGCACAAAUCAGACAUGGAUUAAUUCAGCUAGGCAUUUGCUUCUCUGCUUCCGUUUCCUGGGGGAUCCAGGCAAUCAUAAGCUUUGAUGGUGAGAAAUCUAUGCAACAAGCCAUGCAGAAAGGUAUGGAAUGCUGGAGGCUCUACUUUGAUGAAGUUCACCCGUGGACGGAAGAAGAUGUGACAGAGAGUCGUCUAGCAUGGAUCUCUAUCUCUCAUUUGCCUAUCUCUGGCUGGAGUUUGAGAUGUAUCUCAAACCUUCUCAUGAACCAUGGACGGGUGAUAGGUUUUGACAAAACCAGCCUAAAAAUCUCUGAACUUCACAGUGUGAAAAUCCUUAUAGGUACUCACUUGCCGGAGAUCCACGACUCUAUAGCUCUCAUGCUAAACUCCAAGUUAGUACACAUACAGCUGGAUGAGAUUGACCUUUAAGAUAUCCAGAGGCAAAAGGAAUUUCAUACUCGAUGGCAGAAUUUCAAACCAUAUUACUUCAGGGAGAUAGUGCUGACAGUGACUCAGAUGAUGAAGUGUACACUAAUCUGGCUUUUGACUUGGCAGGAGAUGACAACAUUUGCAGGCUGGUAUCGCUGAUAAGAAUUGUGGAGCUGAUGACAAGGCACACACUGAGAGGUAAGGAAGCACAACCCACAUGGGACAUAUGAGGUCUACGAUCAUAGCUUUGCGGCCACAAUAAAUGCAUUGACAACACAGAACGGCUACAUAUCGUUGUUGAAGAUCUCUUUCCAGAAAUAGCUGCUCCUAGGACUCCCCACCACUUUCUCUACCAACAAGCUUUCCCAAAAUCAACUCCAACCAGACGGGGCCUUGUCUUAUACGAUGUGAAUUCAGCAAGCCCACUAGAGCAUCCAAGCAUGGCUUUCAAAAGAGACUCCUUCUCGCCACAACCUUAUACCCCUGUUAGCAGUGAUGAUUCUUUAGAAUCCCACUCAAAAUCCAAAGCCUGCCUCUUACAUCAACCAACAGACCCCAACAGCCAAACAACCAAGACUAAAGAAAAUAUCCUCUACUGGGAGUCUCCUCUCCUUGCACUCUUCAGCAAGCAUAUCUUCUAUAGACUCUUACAUCAGGGUGAAUAAUACCCGUAACCUGAAAGAAUAUGCAGCGGAGUCGUCCACAAUGAAGUCAACAAAAUGAUCCAUUUGGGAGAAGCUUUGGGUCUUGGUAAUUCAGCUCUCUUGAAAAUUUUCUGGGUCUUAUCAUAAGACAGCUAGAAAAGGAAGGAAGAUUGGCAGAAACAACAAUGAAUAGUAAGUUUUCAUCCCUGCAGAUAGGCCUUUUAAUUCUGUCAUGAAUAUUCUUUCUUGGAAUUCAUGUGGCUUGGGCAUGAUGAGGAAACGAAGAAGAAUCACGAAAUUAAUAACAGAAUAUAAGAUUGAUAUAUGUUUCAUGCUGGAAACUAAGCUAGCUAAUUGUUCCAUUGGUUUUGUAUCUCGUAUUUGGAAUGAAAAUCAUGUGAGUUGGUUUAGUAAUGAUGCUCAAGGAUCAAAAGGAGGUCUGGUUGCUAUGUGGAAAAACACUAACUUUGAAGUCUCUAAUAUUGAAUAUAGUCAUGGUUGGAUCGGUUUGUAUGGUAAACAUGUUCACAGUGAUUUUCAUUGCUUUGUUAUUGGCAUCUAUGCUCCUUGUAACUAUCAGGACAGACAAAAACUUUGGGAUGAUCUCAUUCUUCUAAAGCAUGUUUUUGAAGUUCCAUGGAUAAUAGCAGGAGAUUUUAAUGAAACACUCUCUUAGAAAGACAGAAACAGUGGAAUUUGUCAUCCUGCAGGCUCAAAUUCUUUUAGCAGAUUUCUAUAGUCUUGUGAGCUCACUGAAUACCCUUUAGCAGAAGGUUAUUUUACCUGGUUCAGAGGAAGGUCCAAGAGCAAACUGGAUCGUAUGUUCGCAAGCUCAUCCUACCAUCUUCACUUCCCCAGUUUAUCUCUUCGACGACUUCCAAGAGAGUUCUCGGAUCAUUGCCCUUUAAUUCUAUCUAGCUUCUUACAAGACCAUGGAUGACGUCCUUUUUGUUUCUUGGACCGUUGGACUCAAUACCCAAAUUUCAAGCACAUUAUUGAAAGCUUCUGGAAUGAUGCAUGCUCCCUUCACCCUGGCCGCUUUAAAUUUCUCAAAAAGCUUAAUCAUAUUGCAGUCAAAUUGAGGCAAUGGAAUAAGCUUGUAUUUGGAAAUCAAGAAGCUGGCCUUCAACGAACCCUUUCAGCUAUCAACAUACUAGAGGAAAAAUGUGAAGAAGAAGGUUUAACCGACCAAGAGCAGGAGCAUUUAGACUUUUUGUUGAAAGACCGCUGGGUUCGCAACAAUCACAUUGAAUCUAUUUGGAGGCAGAAAUCAAGACAUAUAUGGUGCAAAUUGGGUGACAGAAAUAACAAGUUUUUUCACAUGAUUGCCAAUUUCAGGAAGGCUAAAUCAUCAAUACUUAAAAUCCACCAUAAUGGCAACACUUUUGACUCUCAGCAGGGAAUUAAGCAGGCUGCUGUGGAUUAUUUCUCUGAGUUGUAUGACUCCCCCUCUAGUAAAAAGCCGCAAUUAAAUCCUUUGGGUUUCAAAUGUCUCUCUAAAGAAUCCUCUGAAUGGUUGGAGCAAGAAAUCACAAUGGAAGAAGUGAAGCGCGGUGUAUGGGGUUGUGAUGGGUCAAAAUGUCCUGGACCAGAUGGUUUCAACUUCAAAUUCUACAGAUUAGCAUGGGAUUUUAUUGCUCAAGACAUUCUAGAUAUAGUCUUAAGCUUCUUCAGAACAGGAAGGCUUCCCAAAGGAAUCAAUACAACCUAUGUAACUCUCCUCUCCAAGACAGUCGAACCCAUUGAGUUUAAAGAUUUUCGGCCCAUCAGCAUGAUUCAUGGUAUUUAUAAGAUCAUUGCUAAAAUCCUUGCAUCUAGACUGAAAGCUGUUAUGCAAGAUAUCAUUAGCAUUAACCAAUCAGCGUUUAUAGCAGACCGUAACAUUAUAGAUGGCUUUAUGAUUGCAAAUGAGCUGGUGAAUGAUCUAAAAAAGCGAAAAGCGGCAGGUUUGAUUUUCAAGAUUGAUUUUCAUAAAGCUUUCGACUCAGUCUCCUGGGAUUACCUAGAUGAUAUCAUGGGUUAUAUGGGGUUUGGCAGAAAAUGGAGAACCAUGAUUUAUGAAUGUCUUUCUUCAUCAAAACUCUCGGUUUUCAUCAAUGGAUCUCUUUCAAAAGAAUUCUCUGUUCGGCGAGGGCUGCGUCAAGGAGAUCCGAUUUCCCCUUUUCUGUUUGACAUAGCUGCUGAGGGCCUCUCUGUUCUCUUUCAAAGGGCAUCUAGUGGGAAUAUUAUCAAAGGGCUGCAAUUUGCAUCAGGAAUUUUCGUCAGCCAUCUUCAAUAUGCAGAUGACACAUUAAUAUUCAUCCCGGCAGAUAUUGAUCAGUUAGUUCAAGUCAAAAGAAUUUUAAGAUGGUUUGCUCUGUCUUCAGGCCUUCAUAUAAACUUCCAUAAAAGCUCCAUUAUUGGUAUCAAUGUCGAUGAUCACUUGUGCUUGCGCUUGGCUACAUCUAUUUUUCUGCAGAUCAGACUCCCUCCCAAGCAAAUAUCUUGGCAUGCCAUUAGGAGCCAAUCCAUCUCGUAUCUCACAUGGAAGCCAGUGAUAGAGAAGUUUCGUAAAAGGCUUCAUAUAUGGAAGGGGAGACUACUAGCAUGGCUGGUCGUCUAUGUCUCAUUAAAAGUGUCCUUAAUUCCCUGCCUAUAUAUUUUAUGUCUGUAUUCAAGAUGCCAAAAGGGGUAGGCAGGCUUCUUUCAUCCAUCCAAAGACGUUUCUUGUGGUGUGGAUGUACCAAGCAAAGAUCUUUCUGCAAGAUCCAAUGGAGAAUAGUGAUGCGCGAUAAGAAACAAGGAGGCCUCGGUGUAGGCUCCCUUAUAUCAAAAAACAGAGCCCUGCUUCUAAAAUGGAUUUGGAGACUCUCUUCCCAGGUACAAGCUUAUGGAAAAUGAUUAUCUCUUCAAUGUACAAUCCAUCUUAUGAGAAUGGGAUCCCAAUUUUCUACAACCAACCAUCCAAGAUAUGGAAGGAUAUUAUGUCCAUUGUUCAAACCGACGUUCAUCAAGUCUUCACGAAUCAUUGCAAAUUCAUGGUGGGGAAUGGCAAUUUAACAUCCUUUUGGCUAGACAGCUGGAUUGGUGACGACCCUCUCAAAACAGCCUUCCCAAGGCUAUAUCUUUUGUCUUCCUCUAAAUCUGCUUUGGUGGCUGACAUGGGUAGAUGGAGCAAUGGAAUCUGGCUCUGGUCCCUACAAUGGCGCAGACCUCUUUUUCAUUUUGAACAAGAACAACUAUCACUUUUAUCAUCCUUGUUAGAAUCCAAGCCAAUGUUCUGCCACAAGAUGGAUAAGAAAAUCUGGACCCUCAACAACGAUGGCCUCUUCAGUGUAAAAUCUUGCUCCAAAUUGAUGGACCAGUUACUCUACGGUGGAGCCAAACCAUUCCAAUCUUCUGUUUGGAUAAAACUAACCCCACCAAAAGUGCAGCUUUUCCUUUGGCUCCUUGUCCAAGAUAAAGUAACCACAAGAGAUUUCCUAUUUCAACGCGACUACCUCUCCCUUCAGGAGUCAAGAUGUGCUUUCUGCAAUAAAAGCUUGGAAUCUUCAAGUCACCUCUUCAUUCACUGCCACUUCUCUUGGAAUAUAUGGAUGAAACUGCUUUCUAAUCGGGGCUUUUGCAGUGUUUUUCCAAAAUCUGUUGAUGAUAUGUGCUACCAAUGGUCUUCUAUGGUUAAAGGCAAGCAACAAAAUCUCUCAUGGCAACUUCUUUUCUCAUGCGUUGUUUGGAAUCUUUGGCUUCAUCGAAAUGAUGUUAUUUUUAAUGACGCUGCCCCUAACCUUCAAAUCUGUUUCUCCAUGGUGCGCCAAAGUAUUGCUUUAUGGCUGAGGCUUGACUCCAACUCUUUCGAGCUUAAUAUAGAGAAUGUUUAGUCGGGAGGAGUUGGUUUCUUUUGAUUUAUCUGUUCUCUUUUUGUUGCUAUCAACCUGUUUCAUGCAACAGUUUUUGUGCUUCCCUUUCCUCUGUUUGUUCUUCUGAUGUAAGUUAGGCUACUAUCUUUGUAGCUUUUUCCUUUCAAUAAAAUUUCGACUAUUAACAAAAAAAAAAAAGAUGGAAGGGAUGGCCUCUCAACAGGACCGGGCUGAUUGCUGUAAAUACAGGGUGCCCAAAUCGCUUCGAGGCGUAAAUUGGAAAGCCUACACUCCACUACUGAUUUCAAUAGGUCCUCUUCACCGCGAGACUAAAAGAAUAGAGGCCAUGCAAAAUCAUAAAUGGAGAUGUUUCAAAGAGUUUACUGAACAGGAUGGGAUGAAUGAGCAGAAAAUUAGGGAUCUUGUGAUCAGCAUUCAGAAUAAAGAAAAGUAUAUCCGAAUCUGCUAUUCAGAGAAAUUCAACAGAAUCAGUAGCUGUGAUUUCAUAGAGAUGAUCUUGCUGGAUGCUGUUUUCAUCAUCAAGUUUUUGAAUGAGUAUCAACAGCCUAAUCAUUUUGAGCCCAGGAUGAUGUUUGACAUACGAGAAGACUUGAUUCUACUUGAAAACCAACUACCUUUCUCCAUCAUUCGGGAUAUAUAUCAAGAGAUCAAUCGUGAUCUCCAAGAUGCAACAUGGGAAUCUUUUCUUGAUCUUGUUACCUAUGUUUUUGGAAAGCACACAGGCGAUAUUGCUACGUUUCAUUUUGAAAAGCACAAGUUUUCACAAGUGGAAGAAACCAGACAGAUUGUAAAGGGAAGCAAGCAUUUCACUGAUUUACUAAGGAGUUUUAUGCUGAAGGGAUCCAUUGAACGAACUUAUAGUUUUAAUCCUAUCAAGCUUAAAUAUAGUGCGGUCAUGCUUCGCAAGGCAGGAGUGAAGUUUCAGGUCACCCAAGACAAAUGCUUGGUCAACAUAAAAUUUGAGAAAGGAGUGUUGAAAAUACCACGCUUGGAAGUUGAUCACAGCUUCGAACGUCUUGUACGAAAUAUCAUGGCCUUGGAGCAGUGCUGCUACCAGCGAGAAGCUUACGUAUGCAGUUACAUUAAGUUUAUGGAUCAUCUUAUCGACAGUGCAGAAGACGUGGGUUUGCUAGUCCGAAAGGGAAUCAUUCUCCACUGGCUAGGUGACGAUGCCGCAGUUUCAAAUGUGAUUAACAAUUUUUGCGAAAAUAUUGGUAACAAUUACACUUGUUUUGGUGAUAUCUCUCAAGAGAUAAAUUCCCACUAUGAGAGCCGCUUUAACCAUACGAAAGCAACCUUGAAACUUGUAUAUUUCGCCAAUAUUUGGAGAGGUACGGCAACUGUUGCAGCAGCUAUCCUGCUCAUCCUCACUUUCAUACAGACUAUAAGUUCCGUAAAAUCGUUAUAAUGAUUUUAUCUUGCUUAGUUUCAUUGCUCCUACGUAAUAAUGGAUUGGAUUGUUAUUGUUAAUUUCCUUUGAAAAAUGUUUUUAAAUUGUGAGUUUGUGUUGUUCUGAACCAAUAAUAUGAUGGUAAUACAUUAGAUAUUAUUGAUGAAAGCUAGCAAUUUAGACUACAAGUUUUAUCCAUGAUCUAAGCUCAAUAUUACCAAACAAAUUAAAUUUAUUGGGUGUCAGCCCAUAUUAAAUUAAAAACACAAUCUAAAUACAUUUCAUGGUUCUUACUUGUAGAAAACAAAUUAACUAAGGAUAUUUUAAGUAAUUUUCAUUUUAAUUUUUCAAAGAUAUCCUUUAAAUUAGGGGCAUUUGAGAUAAAUUGCACAUAACUUGUCUAUAAAUCAAGGUUGUCAAUUUCAUUCCGUUCCGUCCGGAAUGGCCGAAACAUUUCAUACCAAUUCAAAAAACGAAACAAAACGGAAUAAAUUUCAUCUCAUUUUAAAUCUCGGCCCGUUCCGGAUUUUUCGGCCAAAUUCCGGCCGAAACGUUCCGGUUUCAUUCCGGUUGUUCCGUUUCGGCCAAAAAAUAUUAUUUUUAAAAAAUUAAUAUAUAGUUUAUAUUAUUUUAAGUUAAAGAUCUAUUUAAUCUUUACUAUUUAAAAAUAUUUUAAAUUUUAAAAUUAUAUUUGUUUGUCAUUAUGUUUGUAUUGUAUAAUUUAUAAUUAAUUUAUCUUGAAUUUGAAUUAUGUUUGUGGAAUAUAUAUAUAUAUAUAUGAACAAUACAACCCCGAAACGGCACGCCGAAACACUCCGAAACUGAAACAUUUCGUUCCAAUUGAAAAAACGAAACACCUACCGAAACGGAAUUGACAACCUUGCUAUAAAUAGACAACAAAGUCACCAAAUCAAAGACAAAAGCAUAAAAGCAUAGAUGACAAGCAAAAAAGACACAUAAAAGAAAACAAGAAGAAGCAGAAGACAGAAGGACAACAAAUACAUACUAAAGAUCAAAUACAAAUAUUUGAGUUAUCUCAAAGAAAUUCAAGUCUAUUAAAGAGAUAAAGGAUCAAAGUCAUUAUAUUCAUCAAAUCAAAUCAAGUUAAGAUCUCACACGGUUAUGAAAAUGUUUUCUGAGAAUUGUGUCCAUCAGAUAUUUCUUUAAAUGAAGGAGCUGAAAAAAUCUAUCAAAUAAAGAGAUGUUUAGAUCACCAUGGUGAUGGACCAACUAAAAAAAUAAAAUCCACAAACUGAAAGCACCCAAAGGAUCAUAGAUCCAUCUUGAAAGAAUACUCAUCAAGAUCCUUUAUAAAGCUAAUAUUCUCCUAAAAAGCAACCAAAACAAGAGCAACAUGAUCGAACAAUAGUAUAAAAUGCUUUAAGGGACAUUAUUGGAUCAUCAUUGGGCUCACUUACUCCGUAAUAACUAUUGUAUAUGAUUGUUGAUACUAUUCAUUCUUAAGUCAUAUUCUAAGCAUAUCAAUGAAAUGAGGAUGCCACCAAACUAUCAACCUUUAAAGUUCCAACAAUUUAAAAGUAAAGGUAAUUCAAAGCAAUAUAUUGCUUAUUUUAUGGAGACUUGUAAUAAUAAAGGAACCUAAGGAGACUUACUGGUGAAGAAAUUCAUCUAGUCCCUAGAAGCAAAAGAUUAGUAUAUUUAAAAGUCUAUUGUUAUUUACAAUCAAAAUGAAAAGUUAAUAAAUCCAAUUUAUUUAUGACUUUAUCUAAAUCCAAUUUAUUUUAUUUACAACGUCUUAAUCUACCAAAUUACAAUAAAAAAUGAGAUAUAAAAAGUUUAACUGUAGAUUGUUUUUUAUUAUAUCAUAUAUUUAUAUAUAUCUUAUAAAUAUACAUAUAAUAUAAGUAUUUUAAAUAUAAUAUUAUAGACAUAUAAUCUUGUUAAAUAUUUUUGAAAUAAAUUUCAUUUUUAAAACCUUAAAAUAUAUAUUUUUUUAAAAUUAAUGCCAAAUUAGUUAGUGGUGUUAACUAAGAGUUUAUUUUGUAUGAGGUUGUGGAAAGAGAGAUUUGUGGAAGGCGUAUUUAUAAGAAGUUUAUUUUAUGUGUUAAAAAAAGUGUUUUCUAGAAUUAAAAAAAAAAAAAACACUUUUCUAGUGGUUGGAAACUAGUUUCUAUAUUUUAUCAAACAUCAGGAAACUUGGAAAACUACUUUUUAGGAAAAGUGAUCACAAACAAGGCAUACUUCUUCAUGAUCACAUCAAUUUUAAGCCAAACGAGCACUGACGGUGAUAAUUUUAAAUCUUAAGAAGAAAUUAAGAUGGGUUAUUUUAAGAUUUUGAAUUUUUUUUAUUAAAAUGUAGGAAAUUAAGUUGCCAGGCGGGCCGGGAAGAGGAAUUGAUCAAAGCCGUGUAUCAAAUUGCGCGCAAUUAGCUAUAUAUUUGAGAUAAAUGUUGAACGCAGCUAGUCAACUUGUAUGUUCAUAUACUGUAAUAUUAUAUAUAUAAGUUUGAAGUAAAAAAACUAAAGAUUAAUCCAUGUCUAUAUCCUUGUCUUCUAAGGGGUGUGUUCUUACGAUAUGAACAAAUACACUAGCACGAUUAUUAGUGAAUUUAGCUUGUCUUCUGCAAAUACCAUGAAUUAAGCAACUCGCUUCAAUGCAAGGCACAAGAAUAGAUUUUAUUUUCCAGUCUCUUGACUUCUCUGGGGAAGCUUGAAGAUCACAAGUCAUGAUUCAAGCGAGCAAGAACUGCGAGGUACGUACGAGAAUUCAAACCAUAUUUGCUAGGAAAAAAAAGAAUUCAAACAACAUUAAUUAAGUAGACUUCACCACGAAGAUAUGUAGCUAUCUCUUUUCUACAGUCAAGAUAAGUUCCUUUAGCUUUUAAAAGUAAGCCUGGGGAGAGGCUUUACAUGUGUUCUCACUCAAGUUGGCUUUACUGCUGUAGCUCACAGCAUCUGCGAGCUAACGUUUGCACGAUAAGGUAACAUUUUAAUAUUAUAAUGAUUAAAAAAAGAGAGAGAAAACAUUAUAAUAUCAUAGCCAUGUCUACCAGUAUUAAAUUAAGAGAAAAGGUUAAGUAUUUAUUGGUGGUUCUAUCAACGCAUAAAUGCUGCAUGAUGGACCAACUUAACUGCAUUUUUUUUUCGAGUACAAAUAACUGAUAAACUUAAGAAAAAUAUGUUUAAAUUUAUAAAUUUCAUAUGAAAAAUAUUUUUAAUUUAUAAAGUUUAUCAGUUAUUUGUACUCGAAAAACUACGGCAAAAGGCGGUAGCAGCUGAAAUCAAGAAGGAAAGUCUAGAAAUAAAAAAAUCAGAAUUACAGUUGGCAAACAUAGUAUCAUUCAGAAUUGAAAUUUCAGCUGCAACCUCAGUUUUAAAAAAUCAUGAAAGAUAAUAUUUAUAUGAAUUAUUUAUUAAUUUUUAUAUAAAAUAUUAAAACUCCAAAUAUUUGUUUUUUAAUUUUUUCAGGUUGACUCUGUAACCCAAAACUUAAAUAUUUGUCUUUCAAGUUAGUGAGUUGAUUGAACCAUGUCGAGUUGCUCAUUCGAUUGACUUGGAAGAAAAUUCAAAUUUUCGUGUUUUCGAUGAUAGUCUUGUUGAUGUUGACGCAGAGGAGUUGAAUGUUGUUCUUAAUAAAGAUGAUGAUGAUGAUAUCCAUAUUGAAGAUUGCGAUAAAGUUGAUGACUGUUGAAUUGACUAUGAAGAAGAAGAAAAUUCUGAGUAACUAUCAGAAUCAAGGAAAGUGAAAAACAUCUUUUUAUAAUGUAAUAUUAUGGAUGAUAUUCUGUAACAUGAAAUAUUGAUUUUAUAAUUGUUAAUUGAUGUUAUUGUUUUGUGCCGGUAGUUUGGAAUUUAAGUGUUUGCAGGAGGGUAAAUAGACAAUACAAACAUAUUCUUUCAUGCACAGUGCACGAUCACCGUGUCUCUAUAGGCGGAAAACAUCUGUCGCUAUUUUAUUGAGAGUUGUAAAAUAUUUACUGGAAAUGCCACAAUCACCAACAUCUAUACCAACGAAUACUAUAUCCAUCGACAUUUUACAGUGAGUUGAAAAAUAUUUACUAGAAAUGCCAUAAUCACCGACAUCUCUACAAACGAAAAUAUUCCAUCGGUAUUUUAUCAAGAGUUCAACAAUAUUUACUGGAAAUCCAUAAUCAUAGUCGUGUAUGCCGACAGAUACAUUCUGUCGGCAUCUGUCUGCAUUUGGCGACAAUUCACAAUUACAUACAGACUUACUGAUGGAUGGUGCGAAUUUCAAAGUGCAGGUAUUAAUACACCUCUAACCACGUGCACUUGCCGACAAAAAUAAACCACGACUGCGAAAAUUAUGGAGGGUAAUUAAAAAAAUUUAGUGUGAAAUUCAAAAUUUACCGAUGGAUUUUUGAAAAGUCACGAACGAAAUAAUUUUAAAUAAUAUUAUUUUAAUAUUCUGUCGGUAAAUCCGUCUGUAAAAUUGCGCUAUCAAUCCCAGCGACCGCCUCUUUAGUUCAUUUUUCCUCUACUUUGUUUUAGAGUUCUCUCGUUUUUGUUUUUUUCCUCUCAUUUGCUGCUAAAUUUUUGUUUUUUUCCUUGUAAUCUCUAGUUCAAUCUUCAACAAAUUAUAAGGUAUGUAUUUCCAUUUAAUAUGCUUAAUGAUUUUAUUUUAUUUCUUUGUUUUAGUUAUUGUUAUUUUUGUUGUGUUUUUUGUUUUGGUGUAUCUUUAUAAUGUAGAUAAAGUCUUGAAAUAAACCAUUAUUCAGGUAAGCAUUUUUCAUUCCUAAAGUCUAUAGAUUUUUUUUUAUUAUUGUUCAAUAUAUUCUAUUGUUUGUAUUGCCAUAAUAAUGGAAUACUUUCUUGAAUUUUAAUUGUUAUUGUUGAAUUUACCUUGUAAUUAGUAAUUGAAUAUAUAUAUAUGAAUAAAUUUAAUUAUUUUAAUUCAAUUUUACUUAUUAUUGCAUGAUAUGUGUUUAAUUAUUUCCAUUUAUUUUAAUUGUUAUUUGUAUAGAUGUUAGGUUAUAUAUAAGAUUUUUAACUUUUCAAGAGAUAAUGAGUGUGUGAUAGAACUUACAUGUGUUCUGAACCACAUGGCAAAUUGUUGAUCUUGUAAUUAAAAGAUUUGAGAUUCAGUCAGCUGUGAGUUAUUGGACAAUAAAUAUUGUUGAUGUUGCCUACAAGGUUGUUCCAAAUUAUAUAAGUGUAUGAUAUUACAUUAUAUAAAGAGUACAUUCUUAACAAAGUUUAAUUAGUAGUAUAUAUAUACUUAUUGAAUAAAAAAGUUUCAGCUCAUCACAGUUAAAUAGAACAUAAUUGUGUGUUUGUUUGAACUCUAGUUUAGACAAAUAUUUUCCCCUUACGGUAUUUUUAGGUGUAGGUCGUCCAAGAUUUGAGAAUAUUGACAAGUUUCCACUGGAAGGCACACCACCACCAUCAUCAUGCCGUGGAACAUGAUUGAUUCUUAUUCUCAAAUGAGGUUCGAAAUAGUAUGAGAUAAAUGUUGAGAUGUCCUCAACAAUAUAGGCCUCAUAUAUCAAAGCCUCAAAAUGCGCCUUGUUCUUAACCUUUUUUCUUAAGAUUGAACAAGUACUUGCAUUGAAUUAAUAAAAUAUUUUCAAUUAAGAAAAAAAAAGAAAAUAUUUUUAUAUAUGAAUUACCUGUAAUAUCUAACCAUUCAAAUGCAUACAUCCAUCUAUACUAGAUCGGUUCUCCAACUUUUGCCUCAAAUGGUAAAUGUAUGGGGAGAUGCUCCAUUGAGUCAAAAAAAUGAUGGAGGGAAUAUCAUCUCAAGUUUGUAUAGUGUCUCGAUGAUAUUUGUUUCAAGCCUCUCAAUGUGAUCAACAUUCAACUUAUUGAAGCAUAUAUAUCUAAAGAAAGGACUGACCUCCGUGAGUGCAUCCCAUAUAUCUUUUGGUAACAAAUCACGAUAAGCUAAUGGAAUGCGUGUUUGCAUAAACAUGUGGCAGUUAUGACUCUUCAUUCCAUAUAAUUUGUAUUCCUCUAUAUUAACCAACCUUGAUAUGCUCAAGACAUAUCCAUCAGGAAAACGCAGACUCUUAAGCCAUUUAUAGACUAGUAGUUGUAUAUUUUUCUCUAAUACGAAGCUUGCUCUUGGUUUUGCAACCCGUGACCCAUCACAAACCAACUCCAUAUUUUUAUGAUUAUAGAACAAAGCUAUAUCAAAUCUAGCCUUGAUGUUGUCCUUUGUCUUCCCCUUCACAUCCAUGAUGGUGUUGAAAAUGUUCUCAAACACGUUCUUUUCUAUGUGCAUGACUUCAAGGUUAUGGCGGAGGAGAUUGGUCUUCCAAUAAGGAAGCUUCCAAAAAAUACUUUGCUUUACCUAAUUGUGGGUCAAACCAAAACCAGAAACAACGAUGAUAGUAAAAAAAAGAAGCUUUACCUCUGUUUGUUAGCGUGAAUGCCUUGUUUUUUCCAUGCAGUAUGGACAUGCUAGUUUUCCAUGAGUGCUCCAACCAAAAACCAUUCCAUAAGAUGGAAAAUCAUUGAUAGUCCACACUUCAGAGUUGAAAAGCCGCCCUCAUAAAAAAAUUAUAUUUCCUCGAUAUAUCAUAAGUCAAAGCUCUGAAGGACCACAACUGCGUCAACUUAUCAAUCAAUGGUCGAAGAAAAACAUCUAUAUCCUGGCCCGGGCUGCUCGAACCGGGUAUGACAGUAGAUAAAAACAUGAACUCUGGCCUAAUACAUAUCCUUGGUGGCAAGUUAUAAAUUGGAAGUAUGACCGACCAACAAGAAUAAGGGGCAGCAAAUGACCUCAAUGGGUUGAAUCCGUCUGUACACAAUCCAAGAUGCACAUUUCUUAAUUCAGCUGAAAAGUAAGGAUGCAUACUGUUAAAGUGUUUCCAUGCUUCGUCGUCAGAAGGAUGCACCAUCACUUCAUCAACCGUAUCAUGUGAUUGGUGUCAUGUCAUGUGCUUAGUAGUCCUUGGUGACGUGAAUAACCUCUACAGUCUAGGUGUGAUUGAGAAGUAUCUAAGUUUUUUAUACGCCAUGAGAGUCUUUUCCCUGCCAGUUCUAGGCUUGUAACGAGAAUGCUCACAUGUGAUGCACUCGGUCAGCUCACAAUUUUCAAGGUAGUAUAACAUGCAUAAGUUAGGGCACAUGUUAAUUUUCUGGUAUCCCAAAACCGAGGGGUUUCAUCAUGGACUUUGUAGCAUAGAAGUUCUCUUUCAGCUUGUUACCUUUCGGUAAAAUGCUUCUCGCUCAUUCGAUAAUUUUGUCAUAACCGGCCUCAACAAACCCGUGAUCUAACUUGAUGGUGAACACUUGUGCUACGACCGAUAAUUUACUGUGGUUCGUGCAGUCAUCCCAAAAUGGUUCGUUAGAAUCCUUCAACAAAUCAAAAAACCUUGUUGCAUCUGCAUUAGGUUCUUGUUCUAUGAUUGGACAUUGAUUGACAUUACCUUGAUUCAUUCUCAUUGCAUCCAUAACCAUAUUCCUCUAAGGAUUAUUGUCACACGUCACCCGUGCGGCGCCAACUAGUGAUUUUUUCGUUCUUCGUUUGCGUUUGAUUCGUUGGGAAUCACCACCUAGUAUUUCGUUAAGGGCUACUAGGAAACCCAAAUAUACCGGUCUUGUCAGAGAUUCGUGCGUAAGGGACUGAUUGUGAUUAGGGAAGGUAUUAGCACCCCUAACGCACCUUGGCUGAGGUAAGCUGCUUCGUGGCUUUAAGGUGUUAAAGAAGUUUUAAAAUUUUAUCUUUUCAUCAGAUAUUAGAAAUACAACUUACGUAUAAGUUGAUAAUUUUUGACCGUGAGCAAAUCAAAAUAUUAAAUUCUUCUUUUUCUUCGCAAUUUUAUCAUAAAUAAAUAAAAAUUCAUAAAACAAAUGCAAACACACAUACACUUUCACUAUUUUUAUUUUUUUUCUUUUACAUCCACAUUACAAAUUAUAAAAAUUCAAAAUAUAUACAAAAAUUACAUUAAAAAAUUAAAAAAUUACAAAAAAAAAAACAAAGAGCCACUAAAAUAGAAGCAGGAACAGUGCGACCACAGGAACAGUGCUGGAAGGCUUCUUGGGUUGCCAGAAUAGUGGCGGCGUGUCUUUCCCACGCGUCAUCGCCACUAGCAGCAAGUGGGUUCACGCGCCGCCGCUAGAAAGAACUUGGAAAUAGUAGAUCAAGAACGACUUCUUCUUCUUUGUCUUCCUAAAAUGUCGGUGACCUGCAGAACAAGAAAAGAAACGCACACAACAAUCGAUUUUAGUUUUUCUUUCUUUCUUGUUUAUGGAUCGUUUUUUUUCUUCUCCGUUUUAGAUUUGUUUUUCUCUCUACAGAUCCACUAUUCUUUUGGUUUCUCCUUCUCUGUUUCAGACGGCCGGGCGACGAAUGGGUUGUUGUCGACCGCUGUGCAGCUGCUGGUGGUCGAUUCGGUCUGUGAUGGCUACGGUGGAGUUGUGUUGGAGAGGAAGCUGGCGGCUGUUUUGAUGCAGGGGAUGUUUUAGUCUGUUGUGGUUCUGUGUGGAGGAAUUUGGUGAUGGUUGUGGGGUGUUGAUGACCAGGAGAGGGAUGUUGUGGUCAGGUGAAGGGGAUGCAACCGAGAGAGGGAUGAGGGGAAGAUGGAGGUACAGGUUUAAGGGGUUAUGUGGGUAUGGACUAUUGGCUGAGGGAAGAAUGGUUGAUGGAGGAGUGAUGGAAACGGUCUCGGUGAAGGGAAAGAGAGAGGGUUGGUGGCGACUGCUUUGGCUGGUUCUCUGUGGUGGCUGAGAGGUGAGGGACGAUGGGUAUUGGUCAGUGGCUAGGAAGAGUGGGGUUCUGUGUUGUGGCCUCAAAGGAAAAGGGGGACGGCCGGUCUCUGUUGAACAGCGAAGAGAGGCUAACUGAGAUGAAAAAGAAAAUGUGAGAUCGCCAAGGAAGAAGCAAAUCCCGAACCAGUGGGGGGGGCGCGACUGGCCUUGUUAUUUUCGCCAAAUGGGGGCGCCGGCUUGGGUCAAGAGAUAGGUUUUUUAGGGUUAGGUUUUUUUGUAUUAUCUCUCCAAUGCGCAAAAUUGCCCCCUCCAUCUUGAGUGUGUUGAGGAGACCAGUAUUUAUAGGUAAAAAUGUUGCUAGGUUUUCAAACUUGGUCCCUCAACUUCUUUCUUUUUCAUGUAAAUUGGAUUUUUCUUGUUUUUUUGGAUUUUUCAAUAUCAACAUCGACUCGAAAUGAGGAAAAUCGGCAAUUUGAAAAAUAACGCGUUCUAAAAACCUUUGAAAAUUUAAAUUCUUUUGAGACGAUGCUAAAAAUUCUAAAAAUGAUGCAAAUAUAUUAAAAAAAUGUAUUUUUUGGAUUUUUUUUUUUUGUUUUCUCUAUUUUUGGAUUUUUCUGAAAAUUUAUCAAAAUAUAGGUAAAAAAUUGGGUAGCAACAAUUAUUAUUGUCAUUUUCAACUCCAUGCACGUUGCUAGCACUAAAAAUUGACCCAACUACCCUUUCUUCCAUGAUCUCAUUACGAACAACUAGUUCUCUGUGUGCAUGCCAACACAAGUAAUCCUCCAUGAACUCCUUGUGUAAAAGAUGCAUCAUUACAACAUCUAGAUGCAAAUACUUUUUAUUUUGACAUUUCCUGCAUGGACACCUACUACCGCCUCCAGUAAAAUUUCUGGGAAUAGAUAUUGCGAAAUUAAUAAAACCCUCAACCCCGUUACAAUAAUGUAUCAUCCGCAAUCCUUGUUGUGAAUCUCGAUACAUCCAAGCAUGAUUAUUCAUUACUUCUAUCGAACCUCUAUAAAAUUAUAAUGACAACAUGUAUUAAUUAACUAUGUUAGGUAAAUAAAUUUGGACAAAUAUUGUUUACCUCCACAUUAUCCAACAAACUAAUUAAAACUUCUCAUAAAUAUGCAUUAUCAAUUAUCAACGUCCAUACAAAUUUAUACAUAUAAAUUUACAAAAAUUACAACUCCGCAAUAGCAUUAAUAAAAAUUAAAACGAACCCAUUAAACAAGCUAUUAAUUAUUUCACAACAUUAAAUAUAAUUCGGUAAUUCAACAAAGUUUCAACAAUUUACAAACAAAUAUAAUUUUACAAAUUCUAAAACAAUCCAUAACAAGUACAAAAUUAUACAUUCAUACUACAAGUUUGUUUGAGAAAUAACAAUAAAACAAGUACAUACACUAACAAAAUACAUAUACUAAAAAAAACAAUAAAAUUAACAUUUAAAUGUUAAAAUUAAAAAAAUAUAGAUUUACUUACAAAAAAUGAUAAAAUCCAUAAUAAAUCAGAAUACGGAUGUUGUGACCACGAAACUUAAAAAAAUGACUUGUGCUGAGAAGAGGGGGAUUUUUUUGGGUGGGGUGGUUGUUUUCUAGUUUAGGAGGGGAUAGUUGGGAUGGGGAAGAAGAAGAAAUAGAGGAAGAGAGGGUCGGUAGAGUGGUUAUAUAUUAGCUCUUACCAAUGGAAACACCGAUGAACUCAUUAUGUCGGCGAUUUUGUUGGUAAGUUUGACGGUGAAUUGGUUAGGUCACUGUACAGAGAUCCCGUUUUGAAUCCCUCGAUAAGUAAUGAAGUUAAUUUUAUUUUUAUAAUGUAUUCAUCACUUUAAUUUUAUUGGUCUUUAUACCUAUCAAAUAUAAACAUUCAAAGGAUAUAAGAAACAUUAAAUAAAACGAGGCAUUAUUUAUUCUCCUUUUUCUCAACAUUACAUAAUAUUGAAGUUGGUUCACUAAGCUGUGAGUUAUCAAUAUUUAUUUCAUUUUUUUAUAAAAAAAAUCAAUUCUUCUUAUUUUGUUCAUGGUUCAACCUAAAAUCAAAACAUAUAUCAUGAGGAAAAAAUUGAUAAUUUUGGCGGCUCUGCUAAAAACAAAACAUAAGAAAAAUCCAAGUGUAAUUAAGACAAAUUAACUAAUAAAAUAUAUCUAAUUAAUUAUAUAUAUAAAAAAACAUCACUAUAACAAGAAUUCAAAAAACAUUUGGUAAAACUAGUACAUCCCAGCAAAAAACAAAAAGAAGCAAAAAUAAUAAAAUUAUAAAAAAACCUCAUUAAAUUAUUAACAAACAUAAAAAAAAAAAAAAAAAACAAAUUUUAAGUUUGGGGGUUAGUGAUGCUCAAUUAUGGUAAUUUUGUUUGAUGAAAGAAAAAUUAAUUGACGGAGCUAUGCUUCAAUCUUUCUAUUUGUGAUUUAUGUUCUUAUUUCUAUAUUUUACCUUAUAUAUUAGGGCUGCAGCGAGAGAAAACGGUAAAAUUCAUUCAGCUAAAAAGUUAUUUAUAACUUCAUACUUUUUCUUUCCACGUAGAUAGUUUUAAAGUUAAAAGAUAACAAAUAUAUUUACUGUUAAAAAGGCCCACUUAUUUAAAUAUAUAUUACAUCUUCUCGCACUUAAUCACUAAGCAAUAAAAAGCUAACCUACAUAAUUAGUCAUCAUAUUUUUUCUUUACAAGUGCCGGGCCCUUGCUUGCUUCCCCUUAAUUCCGCCCCUGGUUUGAGGAUUCAACAUUAAAGGGCUAAAAUGAAGAUUUAAUAUUUUUACAGGGAUUAUUAUGUACAAAUAUACUUGAUCUCUUAAAAAUAAUUUUAAAGUUAAGGGACUUUCCUAGAUCCGCCCUUGUCAAACUAGAAUCUAUAUAGCAUAUAGAAUUAAGUCCCUUAAUUAUAGCCAUUGUCUUGUGCAUGUGGGUAGACAAGGCAAGAGACUUCGAGAGAGAGGGGGGAGAGAGAGAGAGCGGUGGUUCGGUGCUUGGACCCUAUAUACAGACACAGUCCUCUGAUCUCCGUCCUCAGGUCAGCACUAACUUGUUCUGUUCUUUGAAAUGUUUAGUUUUUUGAAAUUUUAUGUUUUGGAUUUGGUUUAAGCUCUGCAGACAAUAGGUUGUUCGGUGUAUGUAGUUCCAUUUAUUUUAUAUUAUUAAAGUUGGUUUGCUUAAUUAUGUUUUAGUUUUCCAGCAUAUAUAAAACAUUUGUAAUAAAUUUUGUUGUUAAAGUCAUUAAUUGAACUAUGAGAUAGCUAUAGAGCAAGACUUGAUUAGUGGUGGUCAUCAAGUGAUUAUCGGUAUCAAUACCCAUUGCAGUCACUUUAAUUACCCAUACUAAUUUAUUUAGGAGAACUAGCUACACAUCUAAUAAAAAUGGGAACAGUAUUACAAAAGAAAUAAAACAAAAAAAAAUCAGAUUGUACCCAAACAAGGAACAAUAAGUAUUUAUAUAUAUAUAAAAAAAAACUAGUAGUCAUGUGUUUUAAGUAUUUGCUGAUUAAGUUUCAUCUUGGCAUCUCAAAGUCAUCAAAUGCUUUAUUAAAAGCAUUUUAUAAUUAUUUGCAGUUUUCCAAGCAUAUAAUGUCAAGUUUAUCAUAGAGGAAUGUGUUCUAGUUUAUCUACUAAAAGAGUUCCAUCUUUGUCAGGAAAAUUCACAAACUAAUUCAGAAUAUCCAAAUAAACCUGAUGUGUCGUAAUUGCGCACAAAACACUAGUUAGGUUGUUUUAAAUUUAAUCUUUAUUAUUUUGAAUUAUAAAUCCUCAUUAUAUCGUAAUUAUAUCAAUAAAUUCUCAGCUAAAUUGAUUCAUAUACAACACAUGUCCUAGCAUUUGAUCAAAGCUAGAUAGAUCACCCAAGUAGCUAAUUUUUUUUUUUCUAUAUUUGUUCUCCAUAUAAAACACAUUAAAUAUAUAUUAAAAACUCCUAACAAAUUAGGCUGAACCCCUCUCUUUAUAUGGGCUUAAUGAUCCCACAUGGAUCAAACUAAACAGAAAUAUAUAGGUUAUCUUGCAGAAUUCGAGGAAAACCAGCUAAACAUUUUCUAGCUUGCAUUUUUCUAUAAAUGUCAUGUCUUAAAUUUUGAUGUUAAUGUCACUGAACUUGUUAUUGAAUCGGAGGUUCAACUUGAGAUUACUACUAGUUAAUUUGCCUACUUGUUGCUGCCUUUUUGAAAUUAUUUUAUUGAAUUCUAUGGUAAUUAAAACAAAUAUUCCAAUAAAAUCAAAUGCUUUAAGUUCUUUGAAGAAAACAUCUAUUUCUCUGGUGACAAUUUCUCUAUGAGAAAAAAUGUCAUUUUUAUUAGUAUCGCUCUUUUAUAAAUCAAAACAUAAGUUAAUUAAAAUAAAUAUUAAUAAAAAAUUCAAUGAUUUAAAUGAAUAAGAAAAAAAACAAAUUCCUUUAAUAAAAAAUAUCAUUCCUUAUUCAUUCAUUUUUUUUUUAUGAAAAAAAGACAUUUUCUUUUAUUAUAAGCAUGAGUUUUUGAAAUAAAAAAAAUAACUUUGAAAUAGUUGAUCACCCUUAAAUAGAAGAUUUGAUCUUCAGAAAACAUUUAUUCAAAUUCUAAAACAAUCCUAAAUUCUCUGUUUUUUUUUUAGAUCGUUUUGAUGUGAAGAUAUCAAAAAUAAAUUUUAAUUUUUUUUUUAUUAUUUUGAUGUAUUUUCAAAUAAUAAAAAAUAUUUAAAAAAUUAACUUCUAUUAUUGUUUUAAACACCCUUAAUUAAUGAGCUUAAUUAAAUACUGGUAUGAAUCAAUUUUAUUUGAUAGCGUGAAAUUUGAUUAUAUACAUGAACAAAAUCUAGCUAAUUAUUUAGGCUAUUUAAUGUUAUACCAAGUGAGAAAUAAAGAGAAAAGGAUGAUUUAAAGUGAGAGGGGGUAGAGAAGGAGAAAAUGUGUUAUAGUGAAAAAGUUUUGAAAAAUUGUGAUAUUCAAAACCGAACUGUGUAUACCUUCCAUUCAUUCUUGGUUUGUUUCAGCCAACCUGCAGACUGGAAAAGGAUAAAUUUACCGCAAGUGCUUCAAACAAGGGAAAAGAUUUUGACGUGGGAAGUGCUUCAGACAUUGAGAUGGCUACAAAUCCCGAUUAUUAUAAAGAAAGAGAGAGAGAGAAAGCUACAGAUAUUUGGGCAAAGCUGGAUUAUGAGGUGAAACAGAUGUCCUUUAAACGGAACGGUUCCGAGUGCUGCAUCUACAGGGUGCCCAAACCGCUUCGAAACGUAAAUUGGAAAGCCUACGCUCCACUACUGAUUUCAAUAGGUCCUCUUGACCGCCAAAAUAUAAGACUAGAGGCCAUGGAAAAGGAGAAACUGAAAUAUUUCAAAAAGCUUACUGAACGGGUUGGGAUGGAUAAGAAGAAAAUUAUUGAUAUUUUGAUCAGCAUUGAGAACCAAGAAGAGCGUCUCCGACACUGUUAUUCAGAGAAAUUCAAAUCAAUCGAGAGCCGUGAUUUCGUAGAGAUGAUACUGCUGGAUGCUGUGUUCAUCAUUCAGUUUUUGUUGGAGUCAAAGGAUCAUGAUAUUAACGAUCCUAAGAAUUUUGAACCCAGGAUGACAUUUGACAUCCGACAAGACUUGAUGCUACUUGAAAACCAACUGCCAUUCUUCAUUAUUCAGGAAAUAUAUGACCAGCUCAAUCCCCCCAUUCCUUUUCUUGAUCUUGCCACGUUACAUUUUCGAAAGUACAAGUUUUCACAGGGGCCAGAAACCAGCCCGAUUGUAAAGGGAAGCAGGCAUUUCACUGAUUUACUAAGGAAUUUGAUGUUGAAUGGAGCCAUUACGCAACGUUAUCGUGUUUAUCCUAUGAAGCUGAAAUAUAGUGCGGUCAUGCUUCGCAAGGCAGGAGUGAAGUUUCAGGCCACCCAAGACAAAUGCUUGGUCAACAUAAAAUUUGAGAAAGGAGUGUUGAAAAUACCAGAGUUGGAAGUUGAUCACAGCUUCGAACGUCUUGUACGAAAUAUCAUGGCCUUGGAGCAGUGCUGCUACCAGCGAGAAGCUUACGUAUGCAGUUACAUUAAGUUUAUGGACAAUCUUAUCAACAGUGCAGAAGACGUGGGUUUGCUAGUCCGGAAGGGAAUCAUUCUCAACCGGCUAGGUGACGAUGCUGCAGUUUCAAAUAUAAUUAACCAUUUUUGCGAAAAUAUUGAUGACAGUUACACUUGUUUCGGUGAUAUCUCUCAAGUGAUAAAUGCCCACUAUGAGAGCCGCUUUAACCGUACGAAAGCAACCUUGAAACUUGUAUAUUUCCCCAAUAUUUGGAGAGGUACGGCAACUGUUGCAGCAGCUAUCCUGCUGAUCCUCACUUUGAUACAGACUAUAGCUUCCGUAAAAUCGGCAUUCUAGGAUUUUAUCUUGUUUAGCUUUAUUAUUCCUACGUAAUGAGGAAUUGGGUUUGUGUAGUUCUGAACUAAUAAUAUUGUAAUGGAGUUUGCAAACAUAAUUCAGAUUAACUAUUAGAAAUAAAAUAAAUUUGUAGUGUGAUUUUGAAAAUCAGGUAGAACCAAAAGGAAAUUUCAUUUAAUCUUCCUAUAAUAUAUUGAAAUGGAAAAGAAUGAGGGAUUUGAAUAUAAAAAAUUAAAGAAACAAUAAUUCUGAAAGUAAUAACUUGAUAUGUAGUUAGCUUAAUUCAAGAUUCUAAACAUCCAUUCAUUUAAAUUUGUUGAUCAUCGAAGUAAAAUAAAUAUUAUUUUAUAUAAAAUAAAUAAAUUUGAUAUUUCUUGAAACUAAGGGAAAUCAAUGAGUUUAUUCAACAAAACUCUUUAAUUAAUUUUUAUUUAUCAAAAUGUAUGAAUAUAUUAAAGAUAAAAAAAUAUACAAGAGAACCAACAAAUUCAAUAUCAAAGAUUUAUAUAAAAAAAAAACCAUGCUCCCUAAACGUCCAGCCCAACAAAAAAAUAGAGACAACCAAGCAGAAAAUGAACUUGGGUAGAUUAGGAACCUAAUUAAUAAUAAGGUGCCCUACCUAACCAAAAGCAAAAUAACAGUACCAGCUCACCAAUCUCGAACAAUGGGCCAUGCUGCAUCAAAGUAGGCAUCAAGGGAACCUCAGCACAAACAAAGAACCAGCAGAGAUGUAGCACACCAUUCUAACAUGGAUGAAGCCAGCAGGGGCAUCAAACACAGAGAAACCGCAGCAGAAGAGAAAUAAGACUGAGAAGAACAAAAAAGACAGCAGCAACAACACCAUCCAAACCAAAAAAAGGCCAUCAGCAGUAGCAAAAGAGGAUGAAACAACCCUUUGAAGAUCACACCGAGAAGCAGAUCCUGAGAACUGCCCAAAAGACAAAGGAAACAAGCCAAUCAGAGCAGGAAAGCAGCCCCCAAAUUAGAGAUUGAAAUGGUUUUUUUCAUGGAAAUGCAGAACCAUGAAGAACAUAACCUGCAAUUUUUUAUAAUACAAAAUUGCAGGUAUUAUAAAAAAUCCUCUUCUUUCGCUCUUCCCAAAUUAAGUAAAUCAGAAUACCAAGUGAGACUCUUCGCAAUAUUUAUGGUCGACAUAGUAGAGACAUGAAAUGGCAAUAUUUAUGGUCGACAUUCGCAAUAUUUAUGGUCGACAAGCCAUGAUUUCGUCAUCCGCCAUAAGAGAGAAGUCUAGUGGCAAGCAAAAAACAGAUGGUUGUGGGAUUCUUCUUCAUCUCGGCAGAAAGCACAACUAGGAUCAGUUUGUAGGAACUGAAGCCUAUCUCGGGUGCGAAGCUACCCCAUCACAGCCAACCACAUAAUAAAAUUAUAUCUGGGCAUAAACCAAGGCUCCUAGACCACCUUUGCCCAAGAAAUUGGAGUACCUUUAAGCCGCAGGAAGUUAUAAGCAUUAGCUAGGAAAGGAUGGUCUACACUGCUCCAAGUUGUUAGAAAACGUGUUUAUAACUGCUGUUGGUGGAGUCAUAAACAUUGUUUAGUGGUUUGAAAUAUUUCAAACCUGUUCUUAUUUCUUUGUUUUCAGUUAUUUCUUUGUUAUCUAUGAUUUGAUCAUGGCGUAAUCUUAGGACCAUGAUGUUAGUGGGUUGUUAUUAAACAAGCUUUAAAUUGUAAUGCUACAGACGUUAAUUGUAUUCAAUUUUUCAGCUUCAAAAUCGAUUGCUCUCAUUUUCUAUUUUUUCUUAACUACAACAAUACUCUGUUUUUUCUUUCUUUAUUUUAAAACAAUUACAAUUGGUAUCAGAGCUAUCUUCUUAUAAGGACAUGUGUGUGAGUUUGAUAUAUCAUAGAAGCUGAAGCUAGUUUCUCAUCAAUUGCUCCGCUGGUGUUUGAUGCAGACAACUCCCAGAUUUGGACAGUACACAUUGUUGUUACUUAUUUUUGGAUUCUCAUACAAAAAUAAAAAAAUAAUCGGAAGAAAUCCAAAAAACUAAUAGAAGCAAGAAAAGGAGACGUGGUGUUGCAAUUAUGAUUUUUUUUAUAGGGAAAGAAUGAUUCAUCAAAGACCACAUGGAGAGAAAAAACAUUUGUUUUUGCUGGAAGCUUGAAAACAUUUGUAUCCUUUUUUGUUUAUCAUUGUAUCCUACAAAGAUAUAAAGGACUGUUUUUUGAUAAAUUUAUGUUGUCUUGUAUCUUAGGUGUAAGGGAAGCUUUUUAGACCCAAAGACUUGAGGAGAUGAAUAAUAAGGAAGAGUUUCGUGCAAUGUAAAGUAUGGAGAUUCAGAAUUAAGAGCGGAUGAAUGCAAUCUAUUAAUAAGGAAGACAACUGUGGUAAAGCUUUUAUCCAUAAAAAGAAUACCUCUGUGAAAUAACAGUCAUACCUGUGGAAAUGAAGUGUGAUGAAAGUUUAAAGCUGAUGUAUUUUCCUUCUCCAUCAGAGUGAAAUCCUUGAUCUGUAGUUUAAAGCUUAUGUAUUUUUUUCAUUAAAAUAUUAUCCUCAGAUAUAAAUAAGAUGGAUCCAGGAUUCAACAUUAAAGGGCUAAAAUGAAGAUUUAAUAUUCUACAGGGAUUAUUAUGUACAAAUAAUUCAUCUUUUAGAAAUAAUUUUAAAGUUAAGGGACUUUCCUAGAUCCGCCCUUGCCAGGCUUGAAUCUAGAGAGCAUGUAGAAUUAAGUCCCUUAAUUAUAGCCAUUGUCUUGUGCAUCUGGGUAGACAAGGCAAGAGACUUAGAGAGAGAGAGAAGGGGGGAGAGAGAGAGGUGCUGCAAUAUAUAUAGGAAGAGGCUCGCUGCUUGGGACUCUAUUUACAGACACAGUCCUCUGAUCUCCGUCCUCAGGUCAGCACUAACUUGUUCUGCUCUUUGAAAUGUUUAGUUUUUCGAAAAUGUUUAGUUUUGGAUUUGGUUUAAGCUCUGCAGACAAUAGGUGCUUCCAUUUUUUAAAGUUGGUUUGCUUAAUUAUGUUUAGUUAAUUUUCCAGCAUAUAUAAAACAUUUAGAUUUUGUUGUUAAUUUCAUUGAACCUGCUGUGAAAUGAUCAGAGGUUCGACUUUAGAUUUAUAUGGGUAUUAAGAUAGCUAUAGAGCAAGACUUGAUUAGCGGUGGUCAACAAGUGAUUAUCGGUAUCAAUACCCUUUGCAGUCACUUUAAUUACCCAUACUAAUUUAUUUAGGAGAACUAGCUACAUAUCUAAUAAAAAUGACCAACAGUAUUACAAAAGAAAUAAAACAAAAAAAAAUUAGAAAAAAAAAUCAGAUUGUACCCAAACAAGGAACAAUAAGUAUUAUUUUUUAAAAAAAAACUAGUAAUAAUGUCUUUAAGUGAUUUGUUGAUUAAGUUUCAUCUUGGCAUCUCAAAGUCAUCAAAUGCUUUAUUAAAAACAUUGUGUCGUAAUUGUAUCUAUAAAUUUUCAUGUCAUAGCAUUGAUCAAAACUAGAUAGAUCACCUAAUACUAUUUUUGGGAAGCUAAUAUUUUUUUUAUAUUUGUUCCCCAUAUAAAUUUAAACAACAUUAAAUAUUAAAAACUCCUAACAAAUUAGGCUGAACCCCUCUCUCUUCAUAUUGGGUUAAUGAUCCCACAUGGACCAAACUAAACAUAAAAUAGGUUGUCUAAAAAACGAGGGAAACCACCUAAACAUUUUCUAGCAUGCAUUUUUCUAUAAAUGUGAUGUCUUAAAUUUUGAUGUUAAUGUCACUGGACUUGUAAUUGAAUUGGAGAUUAAACUUAAAUUAUUAAGUUAUUUUAUAUAACAAAUGUUAUGCUUUUAUUUAAAUAUAUAUUGUUGUAAUAAAGAUAACAAACAAGUAAAUAUUAGAUAUAAUAUGAAUUACAUAAAGAUAUCUAAGUGAUGAAGCAAGUCAUCUUAAUGGAUUUAUCUUUUCCUGUGUAAUGGGAGGGUAUGUAGUUUCAUUUAUAUAUAUAUAUAUUAUAUAUAAGAAAUAAAUAGAUCCGGUCUGGUUUGUAAGAAUUUAAGCAAUUGAAUAGGAAAACCAGUUUUUCAAGUGAAUCGAAUUACUGUUAUGAAAUACUUGACAACGAAGGAAUUUAAGCAAUUGAAAAGGAAAAACCAGUUUUGUAAUAGAAUUUAAUUUUUUAAUAAUGCAUCUGUCUUGUAAAGGAAUAAACGACAACGAAGAAAUGCACAAUCUUUCCCUCUCACUAUCAAUUUUUCCAUCAACUUUAAAGGACGCUUGGAAAUUUUGUCUGCAGGUGAGUGUGAACCAGCUAAGGCUGCAUCCAAAUAUAAUUAUAAGAUAAACAAACAUCGUUUCCAUUAUGGGGCCUUCCUCCAUGCAUUUGAAAUUUUUAACUUCACAUGCUCAGUGGGUUGAUCGGUGGGUUUUUUUAUAUAUAUAAAGACUAUCUGCAGAUAGAAAAAAAGAUGGAUCCAGGAUUUAAUAUUAAAGGGCUAAAAUGAAGAUUUGAUAAUUUUACAGGGAUUAUUAUGUUCAAAUAUACUUGACCUCUUAGAAAUCAUUUUAAAGUUCACAUUUAUAUAUUUAUAGCCAUUUUCAUAUGCAUGCAGGUAGACAAGAGACUUAGGACCUGUUUGGAACGCGGUUUUAAACGAUUUGACUGGAAAAGGAUAAAUUUACUGCAAGGGCUUCAAACAUGAAAAACGAUGUUGAACAGGCAAGGGCAUCAAACAUGGAAGACGAUGAGUCAAGUGCUCCAAACAAGGGAAAAGUUAUUGAUGUAGGAAGUGAUUCAGACAUUGAUAAGGAUAUUAACAGCUUAAGUGCUUCAAACAAAGGAAAGGAUACAGCAAGUACCUCAAGUAUUUCAAACCCGGAACUCAAAAUUGAGAUGACUAGCAGGAUUUUGGAACAGCUGCAUGAUAAGAUGGAAGGGAUGACCUCUCAACAGGACCGGGCUGAUUGCUGUAUAUACAGGGUACCCAAAUCGCUUCGAGGCGUAAAUUGGAAGCCUACAC